AUGGACGCCGCAACCGUAGCCCAAACGUGCCGCUCCUUCCGGCGAGCCGGCACCCCCAACCAACCGCAACCGCCUCCUCCUCCUCCCUCCCUAUAUAACCCCGCGCGCCACCACGCGGCAGCCUCAUCCAUUCCAAGUUUGCAGCCACACACCAUUCCAGCUCCGCACGCGGUCAACCGAGGGAACAACACAUCCGGAUCCAAAUCUCCCAGCCUCCCACAGCUCCGUCGCCGCUCGUCCCGAUCGAUCGACCUUGCGAUCGACUCCGUUUGUUGCCGCGCGUGCGCGCACAGCAGCACAUCCAUGGCCGUCGCCGCCGGAGGAGGAGUGGCGCUGAGUCUGCGCGGCCCGUCGUCGGCCUCGGCGUCGCCGGCGGUGGGGCGGCUGCGUAGGGUGUCGUCCUCGCCGGCUGUGAGGUGCGGGGCGACGCGGGAAAGGUGGCCGGCGGCGGGGGCCCCGUACGGGGUGCUGGAGGAGGACCACUACCGGACUCUGAGGCUGCAGCCGGGCGCCUCCAGGGGCGAGGUCAAGAAGGCCUUCCACCGCCUCGCGCUGCAGUACCACCCGGACGUCGUGCGCCGGGGCGGCGGGGACGGACACGAAGGCGACGCCAUCGACUUCGAGCGGAUCAACGCGGCGUACCAGACGGUGAUGCGCAACAUGCGGGAGGCGGAGGCGACGCUCGAGUACUGGCGCCGCCGCUACGGCCUCGCCGACGAGGACCUCGACCGCUACCGCCACUACCUCAACGACGACGACGAGGACGACUGGUUCUCCGACUUCUGA
Molecule: ribosomal RNA, 786 nt
Filed under: Triticum aestivum (bread wheat)
Lineage: Eukaryota; Viridiplantae; Streptophyta; Magnoliopsida; Poales; Poaceae
Description: partial small subunit ribosomal RNA
Source: RNAcentral